Molecule: long non-coding RNA, 1274 nt
Organism: Sinocyclocheilus anshuiensis
Lineage: Eukaryota; Metazoa; Chordata; Actinopteri; Cypriniformes; Cyprinidae
Exons: 2
Source: RefSeq, a predicted model, not a curated record
AAGAUAAUAAAUUAAAGUCAUUUGUAAAAGGCUGAUAUGUACAUCGAAUACAAAUAAUCUUCAGAACUUUAAUGUGAUUAUGGAUUUUAUAUGAUCAACUACAAACAUACAUGCAUAUAGUUUUAUGCAGAUUUCUUGUAUAAGCAAGGUACUCUGUCAGUCCUUACUGACAAUUUUUAGCCAAAAAAAAAUCAUAAUUUUAAAAUAUGUAUAUUUUUUAAUUAACUAAAAGAGCUGUUACUGCUCUUAAAAUUCUUUUGGGAUUAGUUCAAUUUAUCUUGAAUUUAGUUGGUGAUGCCCAGUUAUUGAUGACCACAUGAAACUAAACCUGUCCUGCAGUGAACUAAUAAUUUGCUUUUGGAACAUCAGUAAGGACUUCUGGAGGCAUCUACCACUGCUCAUAAUAUGAAUGAAUGUUAUUAGAUUUAGUGACAUAGCUACACACAGUAUAAUAAAUAAACAUGCAAGAGUAUAUGUGACACUGAAUAUCACACUUGUGGGUUACAUAUGUUUGAUAUGCCGUUCUAUCUGCAAUAACUUGACUUACAACUCACGACUGUCUGCACAUGCUAAGGGCAAAUAAUAGAUGCUAACUUCAAUAACAUUUUGCAGUAAUAAUUCUUGUUUAGAGUAUAAUAGUUUAUAGGUAUUACAGUGUGUAUAUAUUUAUGUUAUUGUGAUAAAUGGUUGCUGUAGAAAGUCGAAAAAAAAAAAACACUUGGAUGUUUAGGGUUUCCAUGACUUAAUCUAAAUGUUUUCUGCUUUUAAAGUGGCAUGGGAAUAAACAUUUCUUUUAGAAUAAAAAAUUAUGUGCCCAGUGCUUUAUAGAGAUUCCCUCCUACUUGAAAUUCCCAUCUUAGCAACUUUCAACAACGGUAACCCAAACAACAAGUUCCCAGAGACUGGAGUGCAUCUUAACAUGUCACACUUUUUUUUUUAGCUUUGACUUAUAGUGAAGCUUUCAAUACAAAGUGGGUCAUUUCCCCAUGAUUUCCAUUGGUUUACCAUUUGGGCAUUUUAAUGUUAACACAGACAUUUCUAAGAAAAAGCCCACACUCUCCCAUUCCCAUUCCCCAGCCUCUUCCCCUUGAUGAACAUCUAAGAUGAACUUAGAUGCUUGGGUCAGAACGUCCUCAUCAAAAGUACAUGUACCACUUCUGCACUUAUCCGAAAAGCCAUAAAUGACAAGCGGGGAUCAGUUUAAGUCUUUAUUUAGUCUACAGGGAUCAGAGUGUGACUCCAAUUAAUAGGACAUUAUAUAUACAAGAUUUUAA